RNAcentral lists this ribosomal RNA (484 nucleotides) under uncultured bacterium. Its description in RNAcentral is "partial 16S ribosomal RNA". It matches the Rfam family "Bacterial small subunit ribosomal RNA", at positions 28 to 507 of the family's 1533-position model. The record is from RNAcentral.
AUUGAACGCUGGCGGCAUGCUUUACACAUGCAAGUCGAACGGCAGCGCGGGCUUCGGCCUGGCGGCGAGUGGCGAACGGGUGAGUAAUGCAUCGGAACGUGCCCAGUAGUGGGGGAUAGCCCGGCGAAAGCCGGAUUAAUACCGCAUACGACCUGAGGGUGAAAGCGGGGGAGCGAAAGGCCUCGCGCUAUUGGAGCGGCCGAUGUCGGAUUAGCUAGUUGGUGGGGUAAAGGCUUACCAAGGCGACGAUCCGUAGCUGGUCUGAGAGGACGACCAGCCACACUGGGACUGAGACACGGCCCAGACUCCUACGGGAGGCAGCAGUGGGGAAUUUUGGACAAUGGGGGCAACCCUGAUCCAGCCAUGCCGCGUGCGGGAAGAAGGCCUUCGGGUUGUAAAGCGCUUUUGUUCGGGAAGAAAUCCUCUGGGCUAAUACCCCGGGGGGAUGACGGUACCGGAAGAAUAAGCACCGGCUAACUACGUG